MicroRNA precursor from Pan troglodytes (chimpanzee), 61 nucleotides. It matches the Rfam family "mir-3135 microRNA precursor family". NCBI's taxonomy places the organism in Eukaryota, Metazoa, Chordata, Mammalia, Primates, Hominidae. The record is from Rfam.
UGCCUAGGCUGAGACUGCAGUGGUGCAAUCUCAGUUCACUGCAGCCUUGACCUCCUGGGCU